RNAcentral lists this ribosomal RNA (540 nucleotides) under Kocuria rhizophila. RNAcentral describes it as "bacterial SSU rRNA". It matches the Rfam family "Bacterial small subunit ribosomal RNA", at positions 33 to 564 of the family's 1533-position model. Lineage: Bacteria; Bacillati; Actinomycetota; Actinomycetes; Micrococcales; Micrococcaceae. The record is from RNAcentral.
GCGCAGCUGCGCGUGCUUACACAUGCAAGUCGAACGCUGAAGCUUGGUGCUUGCACUGGGUGGAUGAGUGGCGAACGGGUGAGUAAUACGUGAGUAACCUGCCCUUGACUCUGGGAUAAGCCUGGGAAACUGGGUCUAAUACUGGAUACGACAUGUCACCGCAUGGUGGUGUGUGGAAAGGGUUCUACUGGUUUUGGAUGGGCUCACGGCCUAUCAGCUUGUUGGUGGGGUAAUGGCUCACCAAGGCGACGACGGGUAGCCGGCCUGAGAGGGUGACCGGCCACACUGGGACUGAGACACGGCCCAGACUCCUACGGGAGGCAGCAGUGGGGAAUAUUGCACAAUGGGCGAAAGCCUGAUGCAGCGACGCCGCGUGAGGGAUGACGGCCUUCGGGUUGUAAACCUCUUUCAGCACGGAAGAAGCGAAAGUGACGGUACGUGCAGAAGAAGCGCCGGCUAACUACGAUGACCCAGUCAGCUGUACGUCUGCGCUAAUACGUAGCAGAGCGCAACCGUAGUCCAGAAUGUGUUGGGCGUAAC